UACGAAGGGGGCGAGCGUUGUUCGGAUUUACUGGGCGUAAAGGGUGCGUAGGCGGGUCUUUAAGUCAGGGGUGAAAUCCUGGAGCUCAACUCCAGAACUGCCUUUGAUACUGAAGAUCUUGAGUUCGGGAGAGGUGAGUGGAACUGCGAGUGUAGAGGUGAAAUUCGUAGAUAUUCGCAAGAACACCAGUGGCGAAGGCGGCUCACUGGCCCGAUACUGACGCUGAGGCACGAAAGCGUGGGGAGCAAACAGG
Molecule: ribosomal RNA, 253 nt
Filed under: uncultured bacterium
Lineage: Bacteria
Description: partial 16S ribosomal RNA
Rfam family: Bacterial small subunit ribosomal RNA
Source: RNAcentral